GGUUGGUUCAAAGGUAGUGAGUUAUCUCAGUUGAUUGCUUACAGUCAGUUACAGAUUGAACUCCUUGUUGUAUUCUGUACCCUCCUCUCGCUAUGGCACUUGACUAGUCGGGG
RNAcentral lists this Y RNA (113 nucleotides) under Prolemur simus (greater bamboo lemur). RNAcentral describes it as "Y RNA (ENSPSMG00000011502.1)". It matches the Rfam family "Y RNA". From Rfam's summary of the family: Y RNAs are components of the Ro ribonucleoprotein particle (Ro RNP), in association with Ro60 and La proteins. The Y RNAs and Ro60 and La proteins are well conserved, but the function of the Ro RNP is not known. In humans the RNA component can be one of four small RNAs -- hY1, hY3, hY4 and hY5. Lineage: Eukaryota; Metazoa; Chordata; Mammalia; Primates; Lemuridae. The record is from Rfam by way of RNAcentral.